Molecule: ribosomal RNA, 2930 nt
Filed under: Escherichia coli
Lineage: Bacteria; Pseudomonadati; Pseudomonadota; Gammaproteobacteria; Enterobacterales; Enterobacteriaceae
Description: 23S ribosomal RNA
Rfam family: Bacterial large subunit ribosomal RNA
Source: RNAcentral
GGGUUGUGAGGUUAAGCGACUAAGCGUACACGGUGGAUGCCCUGGCAGUCAGAGGCGAUGAAGGACGUGCUAAUCUGCGAUAAGCGUCGGUAAGGUGAUAUGAACCGUUAUAACCGGCGAUUUCCGAAUGGGGAAACCCAGUGUGUUUCGACACACUAUCAUUAACUGAAUCCAUAGGUUAAUGAGGCGAACCGGGGGAACUGAAACAUCUAAGUACCCCGAGGAAAAGAAAUCAACCGAGAUUCCCCCAGUAGCGGCGAGCGAACGGGGAGGAGCCCAGAGCCUGAAUCAGUGUGUGUGUUAGUGGAAGCGUCUGGAAAGGCGCGCGAUACAGGGUGACAGCCCCGUACACAAAAAUGCACAUGCUGUGAGCUCGAUGAGUAGGGCGGGACACGUGGUAUCCUGUCUGAAUAUGGGGGGACCAUCCUCCAAGGCUAAAUACUCCUGACUGACCGAUAGUGAACCAGUACCGUGAGGGAAAGGCGAAAAGAACCCCGGCGAGGGGAGUGAAAAAGAACCUGAAACCGUGUACGUACAAGCAGUGGGAGCACGCUUAGGCGUGUGACUGCGUACCUUUUGUAUAAUGGGUCAGCGACUUAUAUUCUGUAGCAAGGUUAACCGAAUAGGGGAGCCGAAGGGAAACCGAGUCUUAACUGGGCGUUAAGUUGCAGGGUAUAGACCCGAAACCCGGUGAUCUAGCCAUGGGCAGGUUGAAGGUUGGGUAACACUAACUGGAGGACCGAACCGACUAAUGUUGAAAAAUUAGCGGAUGACUUGUGGCUGGGGGUGAAAGGCCAAUCAAACCGGGAGAUAGCUGGUUCUCCCCGAAAGCUAUUUAGGUAGCGCCUCGUGAAUUCAUCUCCGGGGGUAGAGCACUGUUUCGGCAAGGGGGUCAUCCCGACUUACCAACCCGAUGCAAACUGCGAAUACCGGAGAAUGUUAUCACGGGAGACACACGGCGGGUGCUAACGUCCGUCGUGAAGAGGGAAACAACCCAGACCGCCAGCUAAGGUCCCAAAGUCAUGGUUAAGUGGGAAACGAUGUGGGAAGGCCCAGACAGCCAGGAUGUUGGCUUAGAAGCAGCCAUCAUUUAAAGAAAGCGUAAUAGCUCACUGGUCGAGUCGGCCUGCGCGGAAGAUGUAACGGGGCUAAACCAUGCACCGAAGCUGCGGCAGCGACGCUUAUGCGUUGUUGGGUAGGGGAGCGUUCUGUAAGCCUGUGAAGGUGUACUGUGAGGUAUGCUGGAGGUAUCAGAAGUGCGAAUGCUGACAUAAGUAACGAUAAAGCGGGUGAAAAGCCCGCUCGCCGGAAGACCAAGGGUUCCUGUCCAACGUUAAUCGGGGCAGGGUGAGUCGACCCCUAAGGCGAGGCCGAAAGGCGUAGUUGAUGGGAAACAGGUUAAUAUUCCUGUACUUGGUGUUACUGCGAAGGGGGGACGGAGAAGGCUAUGUUGGCCGGGCGACGGUUGUCCCGGUUUAAGCGUGUAGGCUGGUUUUCCAGGCAAAUCCGGAAAAUCAAGGCUGAGGCGUGAUGACGAGGCACUACGGUGCUGAAGCAACAAAUGCCCUGCUUCCAGGAAAAGCCUCUAAGCAUCAGGUAACAUCAAAUCGUACCCCAAACCGACACAGGUGGUCAGGUAGAGAAUACCAAGGCGCUUGAGAGAACUCGGGUGAAGGAACUAGGCAAAAUGGUGCCGUAACUUCGGGAGAAGGCACGCUGAUAUGUAGGUGAGGUCCCUCGCGGAUGGAGCUGAAAUCAGUCGAAGAUACCAGCUGGCUGCAACUGUUUAUUAAAAACACAGCACUGUGCAAACACGAAAGUGGACGUAUACGGUGUGACGCCUGCCCGGUGCCGGAAGGUUAAUUGAUGGGGUUAGCGCAAGCGAAGCUCUUGAUCGAAGCCCCGGUAAACGGCGGCCGUAACUAUAACGGUCCUAAGGUAGCGAAAUUCCUUGUCGGGUAAGUUCCGACCUGCACGAAUGGCGUAAUGAUGGCCAGGCUGUCUCCACCCGAGACUCAGUGAAAUUGAACUCGCUGUGAAGAUGCAGUGUACCCGCGGCAAGACGGAAAGACCCCGUGAACCUUUACUAUAGCUUGACACUGAACAUUGAGCCUUGAUGUGUAGGAUAGGUGGGAGGCUUUGAAGUGUGGACGCCAGUCUGCAUGGAGCCGACCUUGAAAUACCACCCUUUAAUGUUUGAUGUUCUAACGUUGACCCGUAAUCCGGGUUGCGGACAGUGUCUGGUGGGUAGUUUGACUGGGGCGGUCUCCUCCUAAAGAGUAACGGAGGAGCACGAAGGUUGGCUAAUCCUGGUCGGACAUCAGGAGGUUAGUGCAAUGGCAUAAGCCAGCUUGACUGCGAGCGUGACGGCGCGAGCAGGUGCGAAAGCAGGUCAUAGUGAUCCGGUGGUUCUGAAUGGAAGGGCCAUCGCUCAACGGAUAAAAGGUACUCCGGGGAUAACAGGCUGAUACCGCCCAAGAGUUCAUAUCGACGGCGGUGUUUGGCACCUCGAUGUCGGCUCAUCACAUCCUGGGGCUGAAGUAGGUCCCAAGGGUAUGGCUGUUCGCCAUUUAAAGUGGUACGCGAGCUGGGUUUAGAACGUCGUGAGACAGUUCGGUCCCUAUCUGCCGUGGGCGCUGGAGAACUGAGGGGGGCUGCUCCUAGUACGAGAGGACCGGAGUGGACGCAUCACUGGUGUUCGGGUUGUCAUGCCAAUGGCACUGCCCGGUAGCUAAAUGCGGAAGAGAUAAGUGCUGAAAGCAUCUAAGCACGAAACUUGCCCCGAGAUGAGUUCUCCCUGACCCUUUAAGGGUCCUGAAGGAACGUUGAAGACGACGACGUUGAUAGGCCGGGUGUGUAAGCGCAGCGAUGCGUUGAGCUAACCGGUACUAAUGAACCGUGAGGCUUAACCUUACAACGCCGAAGCUGUU